Molecule: small RNA, 81 nt
Filed under: uncultured Ruthenibacterium sp.
Lineage: Bacteria; Bacillati; Bacillota; Clostridia; Eubacteriales; Oscillospiraceae
Description: RAGATH-28 RNA
Rfam family: RAGATH-28 RNA
About the family: Clostridiales (Firmicutes). Nearby to self-cleaving ribozyme genes
Source: RNAcentral
CGGGGUUGAUUCGUCCCCCGCAGCGUGAUCGGUGGGCAUAGAGAAAUCAAAAACCGGGCUAAAAGGGUCGGAUGGCGAAGC